RNAcentral lists this ribosomal RNA (3225 nucleotides) under Triticum aestivum (bread wheat). RNAcentral's name for it is "partial small subunit ribosomal RNA". The record is from RNAcentral. Lineage: Eukaryota; Viridiplantae; Streptophyta; Magnoliopsida; Poales; Poaceae.
AUGGAAUCAUCUUCAUGGGAAAAAUGGCCCGAUCAUGUACGGGAUAAAUGGCGUGAUGAUCUGAGAGAUAUAGAUUUUUGGUUUAAUGGAUACCGUAAAACGGAGGCAUACAUUGUCUUGGUGUAUCAACCGUUCUUAGGUCCAAAUGUUUGUUGGAAUGUUGGCGUGGGGCCCAUGGCUUCAUUCACACGAGCCAUGUCAGGCGUGGGUGUGCAGCAAAUCCAUAAGUACCAUAGAGAAUUCAAACCCGUGAUAAAGGUGGAUCUGAAGCCCACGCCAACGGCAGAGGAAGCCCAAGGAAGAGGCUUCAUGAGCACCAAGUACCAGCUGGCCCUCGCUGCAGCAAAGGAGCUUGGCCUGCUCGACCAACGAUACAACUGGCUCAAGGAAAAGCGGGAUGAGCUACAGUACUACACCUGCGGGUCCUAUGAUGAUGCUACCUCCGCAGAUUUGGCGUGGCACGUGCGGUACAAGAUAGUUCCUCAGAUCAUCAAACAGUUGGCAGCCGAGAGGUACUUGCUAGUGGCUGAGAACCUCCAAGGGCCAAUUGAGCCUGGCAGUUUUACACGGGAUUGCGGGCUUCCUCUGCUCGAGUGGGCAAAUUCUCGUUGGCUCAUCUCGACCACUUCUCAUGAUGCCUACAACAAGAGCAAGUCAGAAGGCGAUCAAGUUAUAUCCAUUGACAAAGAUGAAGAUGUUGUGGUGCUUAUCCUCUUUGCAAUGCAUCAAUCAGCAGAGCACAUACACGGUGCGAUGCGUCAAAAAAGCAAGCAGUACUGGCAUUGCAUAGCCCUCCAAUGCUUCCACUACGCCAUGGCAGUGUUUGGCAAACAUUCACAUGUUGCAUCUAUUACCUCGGACGAGCUCAUCCACCACUGGGCCGCCCAGGGCAUCUUGCCAUAUAUGGCCAUCGAGGAAGAAGAAGAAACCAGCACCAUCAACACCAAGUUUUCAAAUAUGCAUCGAAUUGGAAGGGUCAUCCUCGAAGCAUUCCAUAAGUACUCUUUGUUGCAGCUACCCUUUUCUCCUGCAACUGAAGCUUAUGAAGCCUCCAAUACCGGCGCACAAUUCUUUGCAUACCAUGGCCUCAUUGCAGAAGACAUCACAGUUGAUGAACUACUUGAUGAGAAGAAGAAAUGGAUUUCAUUCGCCAGUGACCAUGGAUGCCAUGUAAGCCGAGAAUGGUGGAACCCAGAGGGAACAAGGGGCACAACUACACUUAUCCUAAGAGGCUGCUCAGAUCAAUCACUCAUUCUUUCCAAGCUAGACCAUUUCUUGCCAGAACUUUGUUUUCUUCUUGUUCUUGAUCUGUCCUACACUCCAAUAAAAGCACUCCCUUCUUCCAUUGGUUAUCUACAGAACCUUCGGUUGCUCUCACUUAGAGGUUGCCAUGAUCUGAAAACUCUUUCCAAUUCAUCCACAACAAAUGCCACAAACUCAUCAACAAAUAUUAGUUCAUCGUCACCAUUGUCCACUCUAUACAAGCUAGAAAUUCUUGAUAUGAAUGGUGUUCCUGUUUCUCAUCUGACACAAGAUGUGGCCAACCAAAAGAGCAAUCUGAUUUAUCUCGACAUGUCCUAUUCGAAAAUAACUACUUUCUCUCCCACUUUUUUUGAGGACAUGUCAAAUCUGGAGGAGCUUAUUAUGACAAGCUGCUCUAACCUUGUGGAGCUACCUCCUUCAAUGGCUUCUCUAUCCAGCCUAACGACCCUUGAGGUCACAGGGACUCAAAUAAAAUACUUCCCGCAGAAGAUAUUUGAAGAAAAUAUGCAGAAGCUACGGUCUUUGAAGCUCAUUGACAACAAGGAAUUGAUUUCACUCACAGGACCAAUCUCUAGGGUCAAAGGAAUCAAAUUGGAAGGGCAUCCUAGCAUUGUAUCGUUCAUGUUGAUCGGCACACCUCAUAUAAGGUGUUUGUCCUUGCAUGGAUGUAGAAAACUUGAGUCUAUCGAGAUCAAGAAUCUUGCUGCCUUGGAGGAGGUUGAUUUGUCCGGUACAGCUAUUAAGGAGCUCUCUGCCGACAUCCCUAAUCUUCCCCAGCUUAGGAGAUUACUCCUCGUGGGUGUUCCUUCCCUGCGGCGAUUUCCUUGGCAUGAGCUGGAGCGACUCCCGGAUGUGUUUUACUUGGAUCAUUGUCCAGAAGGAAAUGACAAUUAUUCUAAUCAAGUUACCCAAGUGUGUGUAACUGACCCCAGGUUCUUCCAUAGCUUCCGUAACACUGCUUUGAAUUCAGUAAGAGAUGGACGGUUUUUCCAAUCAUUCUAUAUUCAAGUCGCACCAUGCAUUACCAAUAGAAGGCAAGUACAAGAUGAAGAAGGCAUGCUAGAUAGCAAGUUGGAGGAGUUGCUGCGGAAUCAGUCAACAUAUGUGGAUGUAUUUAGCAGCUAUUUUGCAAAGAAAAUUGCACUUGCAUCACCCCUGACAGUUCCUCUUCACCGGACUGAGCGCCAUGUAGAAUAUAUGUCACUGUCACUGACAACAUAUAUGGCACAAACGAAGCUCACAUGGAUGCAAGAGACACAUACGGGUUUAGGCGGUCUUCUAAACGUCACGAAAUCAGUGUCAGUGACAUAUGACACUUCUAUCUACACAUUUAAUGACCUGAGCGACUUCAUCGAGCUAGAAGAAUGUGAGCUUCGUUUGUGCCAUAAAAUGAAAGAAGUUGUAUCUUACACUCAAGGCUUGAAAAAACUACGCAAUAUGCAUGUCUGUAGUCUCAAAAGGCUAGUUUCGUUCUGUUCACCGUAUAGUUCUUGUGACUUCAGUAGUCUAGAGCACCUGCACUUAGAGGACUGCCCAAGAUUGGAGCACGUGGUGCCACAUACAGCAACGCUGCCAUGCCUCAAGACACUUGACAUAUUAUUCUGCUACAAACUCAAGACAAUUUUCAUCACCCAUCGCUCGCAAGGUAAUACUUAUCAGCUCCCAAGCCUCCAAAGGAUACGUCUCCAGGAGCUGCCACUGCUUCAGCACUUCCAUGACAAGGACGCCACCAUGACAGCACCGAUGUGGAAGGAGCUACACAUCCGAGGGUGCUGGAGCCUCCGACGCCUCCCGCGCCUACAAGGACGCGAGCCGGGGAUGGUGAAGGUCAACGGUGAGAGGAGCUGGUGGAGCAAGCUGCAGUGGGGCUCAACCCUGCACCGCGACAGCUACGACCCCAAGCUUCCCCUGGAGUUCGCCUCCUUCGAUGAGUCUGCCGAGAUGAGCACCUACCUUAGAUGA